Molecule: non-coding RNA, 103 nt
Organism: Mycena rebaudengoi
Lineage: Eukaryota; Fungi; Basidiomycota; Agaricomycetes; Agaricales; Mycenaceae
Source: the annotation of a GenBank genome assembly
GCCUUCGUGGAUCAAUUGGCAGAUCAUCCCUCAUCAGUGAUAGUCAGCCCUGGGUCCUCCACGAAUACACGGGAAGAUGGAGGUUCGAAUCCUCCCUAAAGCA